UGCUGAGUUGAUGGAGGUUUCCUCCUCCUUGAAGCCUGUCACGCCGCCGGUUGGUGAUGCUGCCUCGGACGUCGAGCUGUCAAGCUCGUCCAAGUCAUUCUCGCCGGCAUUGAACAUGCCGAGCUCAUGUCAACACACAUCCUAACAAAAAAUGAAAUAAUUUGUAUAGCAUUGAUAUAUAUGUAGAUUCUUAAAGAAGUAACCAAUUGAGUCAUGGUAGAUAGAAGAAAGGAUUUUCCUGAAAAAAACAAAUUAGAAAGGGCAUGAGAUAGAUCUCAAAAGAAGUAUGACUUGGGCAUCAAUAUGUAUCUCAAGAAGAAUGAUUUGACAAAAAGGAGUGAUGCAUGAUUGAACAAACCUGAUGAAUGAUAAAGAAUAUUUACCACCUAUAGCAAUCAAAUUAACUAAGGAUAAUGAUUUUGAGAAAGGGAAAGGUAUCACCCGUAUUCUAGAUCUCACUGCCAUGAUGCUUUGAGAGAGCGCGGUAGAGAUCUCAAUGAUUCUUUUGAUUUGAAAAAAAAAAAUAGACAUAUCUCGUGCAGACGCCAAAAGAGAUCCUUUCAAUUAGUUUGCGAGGCAGGGAUUGAAAUAUAGAUCUCAUCAGAAACGAUUUCUUAGAGAGACCAUGGCUCAUAGUAGAACAGAUCUCAAUGAUACUUUGCGAUGGAUCAAGAAGUAGGUAGAUCUCGUGCGGAUGCCAAAAGAGAUCCUUUCAAGAAGUUUGCGAGGC
RNAcentral lists this long non-coding RNA (730 nucleotides) under Brachypodium distachyon (stiff brome). RNAcentral describes it as "long non-coding RNA (BDIS_LNC001823)". The record is from RNAcentral. Lineage: Eukaryota; Viridiplantae; Streptophyta; Magnoliopsida; Poales; Poaceae.